Molecule: non-coding RNA, 94 nt
Filed under: uncultured Porphyromonas sp.
Lineage: Bacteria; Pseudomonadati; Bacteroidota; Bacteroidia; Bacteroidales; Porphyromonadaceae
Source: RNAcentral
CUCGAAGGGGUGCUGGCACAGGGAAGAUAAGUCCUGAGCUGAGCUGAGAUUAUACCCGAAGACCUGAUCCAGAUAAUGCUGGCGUAGGCAGAGA